GCACCCGUAGCUCAGUUGGUUAGAGUGCAUGCUUGACAUGCAUGAGGUCGCUGGUUCGAGUCCAGCCGGGUGCAC
RNAcentral lists this transfer RNA (75 nucleotides) under Thalassoglobus neptunius. RNAcentral's name for it is "Planctomycetes bacterium KOR42 tRNA-Val". It matches the Rfam family "tRNA". Rfam says of the family: Transfer RNA (tRNA) molecules are approximately 80 nucleotides in length. Their secondary structure includes four short double-helical elements and three loops (D, anti-codon, and T loops). Lineage: Bacteria; Pseudomonadati; Planctomycetota; Planctomycetia; Planctomycetales; Planctomycetaceae. The record is from RNAcentral.